This 1011-nucleotide long non-coding RNA is filed under the name Homo sapiens (human). RNAcentral's name for it is "HSALNT0408468". Lineage: Eukaryota; Metazoa; Chordata; Mammalia; Primates; Hominidae. The record is from RNAcentral.
CUAUGAUAUCACAAUUCACCUGAUUAUUGACAUAAUCAGCCCCACCCAGACUCUCAACCAAUGAGAGAAGACCUAGUAGUAUAUAAGAAGCUCUUCUCAAAUGACUCUUGCCCUCUGUGGCCGGGCUGUUUAGCAGCUGGUCUCACUGCUUAGGUUCCUAAAGCCUAGCUGUUACAGCGUCCUUGCUACAGAAAGAGAUCGUUGUCUGACCAGAGACAAAACUUACUUCUGUCUGGUAGCAGAGUACCUACAUUUGGCUUUCCAGAUCUCACCUCAGUUCCAGAUUCCUCUACAUUAAAAUCUUCGCCUGGGUUACAUCUUCUCUCAGGAUUGAAUAUCAACACUAUUGAAGACACCUCAUGUGACAUCACAAACAGCUUUCUUGGACUCUCCAGGGAGGUGGAGCAAGAUGGCUGAAUAGAAGCCUCCAGCAAUUGUCCCCCACUCACAGGAACACCAAAUUGAACAACUAUCCACACACAAAAAAAAGCACCUUCAUACAAAGAAAAAUCAGGCCUGGAACAGAUCAGCCUCCCUGCAGGAAUCAACUGAGAAAGAAUUAAUGACACUUUCGAAAGCUUUAAAUUCCAAUGAGAAAUUGAAGCCCUGGGAAUAUCUGCCUCAACAUUUUAUAGGGUGUAUGCCUGCAGUCAGUGAGAAGCACGAGGAUAUUCCGUUCCUUGAACAUAGUAUGUUCAACAUUUCCAUGGGUUGGUGGCAGAAAUAGCACUCUGGCUAGCUGGGAGAAUGGGACCUUUAAUACCAGUGAUGUGAGGAUGGAUAUUAGCCUUUUGUGGCCCUAAAAUGAGAUAUGUUCUGAGACAGCUGAUAACAGAAUGAAGGGGGAUUUUCUUAAAGCAUCCAUGACCCUAACAAGGAAACUGGAAGUUGCAUUCUAUUGAUCCAAGGCUAAGAAGGAAUUAAGUUGCCAUCAGAUCAAAUUCCGGCAAAGCGUCUGGAAGAGACAUGGCUUCAAAUCAAUGUUUUGAAAAAGAAAUUAAGAAUAUAUUC